This 503-nucleotide ribosomal RNA is filed under the name Klebsiella pneumoniae. Its description in RNAcentral is "bacterial SSU rRNA". It matches the Rfam family "Bacterial small subunit ribosomal RNA", at positions 1 to 495 of the family's 1533-position model. Lineage: Bacteria; Pseudomonadati; Pseudomonadota; Gammaproteobacteria; Enterobacterales; Enterobacteriaceae. The record is from RNAcentral.
AAAUUGAAGAGUUUGAUCAUGGCUCAGAUUGAACGCUGGCGGCAGGCCUAACACAUGCAAGUCGAGCGGUAGCACAGAGAGCUUGCUCUCGGGUGACGAGCGGCGGACGGGUGAGUAAUUUCUGGGAAACUGCCUGAUGGAGGGGGAUAACUACUGGAAACGGUAGCUAAUACCGCAUAAUGUCGCAAGACCAAAGUGGGGGACCUUCGGGCCUCAUGCCAUCAGAUGUGCCCAGAUGGGAUUAGCUAGUAGGUGGGGUAACGGCUCACCUAGGCGACGAUCCCUAGCUGGUCUGAGAGGAUGACCAGCCACACUGGAACUGAGACACGGUCCAGACUCCUACGGGAGGCAGCAGUGGGGAAUAUUGCACAAUGGGCGCAAGCCUGAUGCAGCCAUGCCGCGUGUGUGAAGAAGGCCUUCGGGUUGUAAAGCACUUUCAGCGGGGAGGAAGGCGUUAAGGUUAAUAACCUUGGCGAUUGACGUUACCCGCAGAAGAAGCACCG